GGAGACGUACCCAAGAGGUUGAAGGGUCCGCACUCGAAAUGCGGUAGGUCGGGCAACCGGCGCGAGGGUUCAAAUCCCUCCGUCUCCG
Molecule: transfer RNA, 88 nt
Filed under: Coprococcus eutactus
Lineage: Bacteria; Bacillati; Bacillota; Clostridia; Lachnospirales; Lachnospiraceae
Also listed under: 15 other names
Rfam family: tRNA
About the family: Transfer RNA (tRNA) molecules are approximately 80 nucleotides in length. Their secondary structure includes four short double-helical elements and three loops (D, anti-codon, and T loops).
Source: Rfam by way of RNAcentral